GCACUGCUGAGGAGUGCCACAAUAGGACGAAACGCCCGUCCAGUGC
RNAcentral lists this non-coding RNA (46 nucleotides) under Schistosoma mansoni. The record is from RNAcentral. Lineage: Eukaryota; Metazoa; Platyhelminthes; Trematoda; Strigeidida; Schistosomatidae.